UGGGGAAUUUUGGACAAUGGGCGAAAGCCUGAUCCAGCAAUGCCGCGUGUGUGAAGAAGGCCUUCGGGUUGUAAAGCACUUUUGUCCGGAAAGAAAUCCUUGGCUCUAAUACAGUCGGGGGAUGACGGUACCGGAAGAAUAGGCACCGGCUAACUACGUGCCAGCAGCCGCGGUAAUACGUAGGGUGCAAGCGUUAAUCGGAAUUACUGGGCGUAAAGCGUGCGCAGGCGGUUUGCUAAGACCGAUGUGAAAUCCCCGGGCUCAACCUGGGAACUGCAUUGGUGACUGGCAGGCUAGAGUAUGGCAGAGGGGGGUAGAAUUCCACGUGUAGCAGUGAAAUGCGUAGAGAUGUGGAGGAAUACCGAUGGCGAAGGCAGCCCCUGGGCCAAUACUGACGCUCAUGCACGAAAGCGUGGGGAGCAAACAGGAUUAGAUACCCUGGUAGUCCAGCGCCCUAAACGAUGUCAACUAGUUGUUGGGGAUUCAUUCCUUAGUAACGUAGCUAACGCGUGAAGUUGACCGCCU
This 525-nucleotide ribosomal RNA is filed under the name uncultured bacterium. RNAcentral describes it as "partial 16S ribosomal RNA". It matches the Rfam family "Bacterial small subunit ribosomal RNA", at positions 355 to 874 of the family's 1533-position model. The record is from RNAcentral.